GGGCGUUCUGAAGACCUGCUCUCUAGGCCACAUGCGGAGGACACUGGUUCCUCAAGGGCUCCCGAGCCCGCCUAGGGGAAAGUCCCCGGACCCCGGGCAGAGAGUGCCGCGCGCUCCGCAGCGUGCAGUGACCCGCCUCGCAGGCUCACAUUCUCCCCGCCGAGAAGCCCCCCGGGCUGAGCGGGUGGGCGCGGGAUGGGCUGCCCGUCACUCCCACAGAAACGCAGGUAGUGCGCAGGCGUGUGUGUUUCCCUCGGGGGGCGCCCGCUGCUGCACCAACAGAACGGGGCUCAUUCUCAGAACGCC
This 306-nucleotide RNase MRP RNA is filed under the name Chelydra serpentina (North American snapping turtle). RNAcentral describes it as "RNase MRP (ENSCSRG00000009133.1)". It matches the Rfam family "RNase MRP". From Rfam's summary of the family: RNase MRP is an enzymatically active ribonucleoprotein with two distinct roles in eukaryotes. In mitochondria it plays a direct role in the initiation of mitochondrial DNA replication. The record is from Rfam by way of RNAcentral. Lineage: Eukaryota; Metazoa; Chordata; Testudines; Chelydridae.